AGACAGCGUGUGUACCAGGAAAGGAGAAUGGCAGAAAUGCAAGUUGUGACUACUUGGAGUGGUAAGCUUGCUGCAAGUUGUAAAUAUAGCUUCAAACAAUGCUUCUGCAAAUUAUUCUAGCCAUGUACGUGACAAAAAAAUGCUUCUCCAGCAAAUUUCCACACCAAUUUGUUUGUCUAUCGUUUAGAUUUUCUACUUCUGAAAAUAAAAAAUUUAGUAACAAGCUAGCCUUCUCCAUUAACCACUUUGUGUGUGCUGCUAUGCUAUAUGAACAGGUUUUGAUUUGGCCACUUCCCUCCCUGAUGUGCGCGUGCAGGUGCUCUGUGUGCUUCCUUCUUCCCUUCCUGGGACGCCGCUCUCCCGCUGCUCUAACGCCAUGGAUUGACAAAUGUAAGUAUUUAUCUUUGUCUCCCCUUACCCUCUGUUCUUGUGCUUCCUCUGGGCUUAAUUUGCUUAGAAAUUAUUUCUUCAGAGAGGACAAGAGGUGAUGUCUUGUAAUCCAACUUGUCUUCUUGAACAAAUGAAGCACAAUCCUUUGCAACACUUGAAGUUUCAGACUGAAUGAAUUUCAUUGGCCACCUGUAUUUAGAAACUUUACCCUAUGUAGUAUCAUGUACCUUUAAGGGCUUCUUUUGGCGGAUUCUUCCAGAAUCGCCCCUCUCCUCAGCUACUCCCAGAAUCUUUGACCCACAUUAUAGUAAAACUUGGUAGUCAAAGUUGUGUUUUUAGACUUCUAGUAUCUGAAAUGACAUGUUUUGGGGAACAAGUGGGAGCCCUUUUAGUCUGCUCCCUGUCAGUAUAGUUUUUUUAAUUUGCCAUACUUGCUGCUGUCCUCUUGAGUUCUAAUUUUGUCUUCUAAAGCAAUGCAUUUUGCCCUUAUAAAGGUCAUCUUGUUAUAGUUAGGUGUUGUUGUGCUGCUUUCGAUCAGUAACACGAAUGAUAAACUAGAUGCAACUUGGUUCAGGGUUAGUGGUCAUUUGUAUGGAUUACAGAGUAUAGCUAUUGUAGGAAUAUUUGCUUCAAUUUGGCCUUGGUAUUAGAGUACAACUAUCUUGAAUCUACAGAAUAGAACUCUUGGAGUACAACUUGCAAGACAUUCCAAGCUAAUUAGGCUCUAACUAGCUAGGAUGGUCAAACAAAUGAGGGUUGGAGAUUCUAUGAGAAGCUGGGGAGGGGGCCAAUUCUCCCAGGAUCGGCCAAAAGAACUGGCCUUUAGUUUUGGAGAAGCCCAUUGUGCCUGUCCUUAAUGAGCAACAAACUUUCCAAAAGUGAUAAUGGCAAUUUUUGUGAAAUCAGUAGUGCAGUUUGCAUCUUUGUAACAGUACAUGUUAUAAGACCAACAUUAACACUAAAAGUGGGCUGUGUAGUGCCUGGAAGUUUAACUGAUUAUGCGGACCUGCUUUCAUUCGAUUGUGCCUCAAAUUUCACAAUCAUUAUUGUUUUUUAUUUUAGAUGCCUAGAAUUUUGGCAAGCCAAGUUUCGCUGUUAAAUGCCGACUUGUUAGUUUCCGUAUUGGUUGCUUUUUCAAAGGGAUGAGCUAAUCACAUUUAAUUGUGUAAGUACCACUCAACCUCUUGAGGAUCGAUUGGAUGAUGUGAUUAUAUAGCAGAUCUGUUGGUACUAGACGAGAUGUUGUGUAGGAAGGAAAAUAUAAUCAUCAUCUCUCCUUUCUGGGUUUUCUUAAAUAUAACACCAAGAUCUGAUUUGCAGUUGGACGUACUGGACUGGCACAAGAGCACAUUUUGGUUCCAUUUUUACAGGUUAAAAACUGGAGCAUCACGUUUAUGACGAAUACACAUCCCGUACAGUACAUGCUUAUUAUUUCUAUGCAGCAUUAUUUGGUUCAAGGAAAAAACCUACAGUACAUGCUUAUUAUUUUUAUGUAGCAUUUUUUGGUUCAAGCCCAAAACCUACAGUAGUAUCUUAAUUUGUUCAAUUUCUACUAGAAAAGAGACAGGUUAACUUUGUGUAGUUUAUGAAAUUUCUAGAGGCUUGGCUCCAUAGAAAUGUCAGUCUGUUAGUUUGCUUGCUACCAAUGUGGUAUCAGCUGGUUUUGUGUUGUUCAAUGCCGACUUAUCAGUCUUGGCACUAGUUUCUUUUUCAAAGGGAGGAGCUAAUCACAUUUGAUUGUAUAAGUAUCAGUCAAUCUCUUGAGACUGGAUUGGAUGAUGUAACCAUAUAGAAGAUCUGAUGGUACUAGAUGCGUUGGAAAGUAUAAUCAUCCUCUUUCCUUUCUUGGUUUUCUUAGGGUUACUAGAUGCUUUUCCUUAGUCUUUUGCUGCAUCAACCCUCCACUCCCAUUAUUGAGCAUAUUGGUGGUCGACUAUGAAUGCAUUGGGAUGUUAAUUGCCAUGUCCGGUAGCCACUAUUGCAAGUUGUACAACACGUCCUUGACGGUGUCGAGACAGCAAAAGUGACAAAGCACUCACUAUAGUUUUAUGUAUUGUUUCAAGCAUUAUCAAUUACUCCUUUCGUACCAAAAUAAUUCUUUAUCAGUUCUCAAGCUGAUAUUUUUUCACAAUGAUGGUGGUUUCACACCAACAUCAGCUACUAUGAUACACUUCUUUACCUAUAUCAGCAGUUAAUAUAUAACCAACAAAUGAAAAUGUUUUCAGAAGGUGCAUAUUUAACAUGUGGCUUUUCACUCACCUGCCAUGAUAGACUUUCAAAUUUGAAACCUUUAAUUCUAUCUUUACUACGUAAAUGGUAUACUGUUGAUAACUUGCAAUUCGAAAAAAAAACUACCUUCAAAAUCACUUUUUUAUGUCACUGACUAGUGACAGCCCAAGCUUGCACUGUUGUGGGUUAAUUCCACAAGUUGUUUCUGCAAUGUGGUAAUGAACUGACAGAUUGCCUUUUAUUCAUUCUCAAGUCAGAUUUCUAGUUUUAUUUCAUUUGAGAUUCCUUCCUGGGUUAGGUUAAUUUCAUAUACUGCUGCUUCUCCCAUGUGAUGCUGAACUGGGCAUUGACUUGUUUUAUUCUGAAUUUUAGGUAAGUAAAGAAUUCACCCAUGCUGAUGCUUGUUCAGUUGAGACAAUCUGCUCCCUGGCUGCUACUGGAACGAGAUGUGUGAUGGUUCAUCUCACUCAGCUCUUCAAGACAGCGUGUGUACAAGGGAAGGAGAAGGGCAGAAAUGCAAGGGUGACUGCUUGGAGUGGUAAGCUUGCUGCAAGUUAUAACUAUUGCUUCAAACAAUGCUUGUGCAAAUUAUUCUAGCCAUAUAUGUGACAAAAAAUGCUUCUCCAGCAAAUUUCCACACCAAUCUUAGAUUUUCUACUUCUGAAAAUUAAAAAAAUUAGUGACAAGCUGGCCUUCUCCAUUAACCACUUUUUGUGUGCUGCAAUAUGAACAUGUUUCGAUUUGGCUGCUCCCCCUACCUUAUGCGCGUAGGUGCUUUGUGUGCUUCCUUCUUCACUUCCCGGGACGCCGCUCUCCCGCUUCUCUGACGCAAUAGACAGACAAAUGUAAGUAUUUCUCUUGUCUCCACUUGCCCUUUGUUAGUGUCCUUUCUCUGGCAUUAAUUUGCCCAGAAAUUAUUUCUUAAGAGAGAACAAGAGGAGAUGUCCUGCCAUCCAACUUGUCUUCUUAAACAAAUGAAGCACAAUCCUUUGCAGCACCUGAAAUUUCAGACUGAAUGAAUUACGUUGGCCACCUGUAUUUAGAAACUUUACCCCAUGGAGUAGCAUGUACCUUUAGUUUCCUAGAAGCCCAUUGUGCCUGUCCUUAAUUAGCAACUCACUUUCCAAAAGUGCUGAUGACAAUUUUUGUGAAAUCAGUUGUGCAGUUUGCAUCCUUAUAACAAUACAUGCUAUAAGAUCAAAGUUAACACUAAAAGUGUUCUCUAUAGUGCCUAGAAGUUUAACUGAUUAUGUGAAUCUGCUUUCAUUUGAUUGUGCCUUUCACAAUCAUUAUUUAUUUAUUUUAGACAUUUGAAAAUGAAGGAAGAGAUUCUAUGAUUGUAUGUUGCUUCUGCUGUAUGUUGAUCUACCUGCCUUUCCUUUUGUUAUACAUGCAGCCAAAAUUUCUGGAGCAGGACACUCGCUUGACAUUUUGUUAUACAUGCAACUAAGCCGGUCAGUUAGCGGCUCUUAGAUCUAUCCGCCACGGUCACCAUGAUGAUGACGACCUCCCCUCCACAUGCUUGUGCUCGGUCGACGACGCGACCGUCUCUUCCUCACCUCACCUCGCCUUAGGUUGGCGGCGUCCAGAUCAAGUGGAUUCGUCAAUGGCCUCGACAGAUGCAGUCUGAUUGCUCUGUCACGCCGUCAUGAAGGUACCCCCACUCCUCUUUGAUUUGCUCCUCUCCCCUUCCCUUCCCCUUUCUUCUCUUUUACAAUUUGUUUUCUUCCUCACGCAUGCGUCUCGGACAGGCUCCUUCUCCACAACCACACACGGGAAGCCAUGGAAGCUCCAUGUGCUUGUUCUCCAUGGAGGUC
This 4436-nucleotide long non-coding RNA is filed under the name Triticum aestivum (bread wheat). Its description in RNAcentral is "long non-coding RNA (TAES_LNC014098)". Lineage: Eukaryota; Viridiplantae; Streptophyta; Magnoliopsida; Poales; Poaceae. The record is from RNAcentral.